GACUACUGGGGUAUCUAAGCCUGUUUGCUCCCCACGCUUUCGCGCCUCAGCGUCAGUUACUGUCCAGAAAGCCGCCUUCGCCACUGGUGUUCCUCCUAAUAUCUACGCAUUUCACCGCUACACUAGGAAUUCCGCUUUCCUCUCCAGCACUCAAGAACCCCAGUUUCAGAUGCAGUUCCGCAGUUGAGCCGCGGAGUUUCACAUCUGACUUAGGAUCCCGCCUACACGCCCUUUACACCCAGUAAUUCCGGACAACGCUUGCCACCUACGUAUUACCGCGGCUGCUGGCACGUAGUUAGCCGUGGCUUAUUCUUCAGGUACCGUCAUUUUUUUCGUCCCUGAUUAAAGAAGUUUACAACCCGAAAGCCUUCAUCCUUCACGCGGCGUUGCUGCUUCAGGGUUUCCCCCAUUGAGCAAUAUUCCCCACUGCAGCCACCCGUAGG
RNAcentral lists this ribosomal RNA (443 nucleotides) under uncultured Oscillospiraceae bacterium. RNAcentral's name for it is "partial 16S ribosomal RNA". The record is from RNAcentral. Lineage: Bacteria; Bacillati; Bacillota; Clostridia; Eubacteriales; Oscillospiraceae.